AUUGAACGCUGGCGGCAGGCUUAACACAUGCAAGUCGAGCGGGGGAAGGUAGCUUGCUACUGGACCUAGCGGCGGACGGGUGAGUAAUGCUUAGGAAUCUGCCUAUUAGUGGGGGACAACAUCUCGAAAGGGAUGCUAAUACCGCAUACGUCCUACGGGAGAAAGCAGGGGAUCUUCGGACCUUGCGCUAAUAGAUGAGCCUAAGUCGGAUUAGCUAGUUGGUGGGGUAAAGGCCUACCAAGGCGACGAUCUGUAGCGGGUGUGAGAGGAUGAUCCGCCACACUGGGACUGAGACACGGCCCAGACUCCUACGGGAGGCAGCAGUGGGGAAUAUUGGACAAUGGGGGGAACUCUGAUCCAGCCAUGCUGCGUGUGUGAAGAAGGCCUUAUGGUUGUAAAGCACUUUAAGCGAGGAGGAGGCUACUUUAGUUAAUACCUAGAGAUAGUGGACGUUACUCGCAGAAUAAGCACCGGCUAACUCUGUGCCAGCCGCCGCAGUAA
This 501-nucleotide ribosomal RNA is filed under the name uncultured bacterium. RNAcentral's name for it is "partial 16S ribosomal RNA". It matches the Rfam family "Bacterial small subunit ribosomal RNA", at positions 30 to 523 of the family's 1533-position model. The record is from RNAcentral.